This 446-nucleotide ribosomal RNA is filed under the name uncultured bacterium. RNAcentral's name for it is "partial 16S ribosomal RNA". It matches the Rfam family "Bacterial small subunit ribosomal RNA", at positions 338 to 795 of the family's 1533-position model. The record is from RNAcentral.
CCUACGAGGUGCAGCAGUCGAGAAUCAUUCACAAUGGGGGAAACCCUGAUGGUGCGACGCCGCGUGGGUGAAUGAAGGUCUUCGGAUUGUAAACCCCUGUCAUAUGGGAGCAAAUUAAAAAGAUAGUACCACAAGAGGAAGAGACGGCUAACUCUGUGCCAGCAGCCGCGGUAAUACAGAGGUCUCAAGCGUUGUUCGGAAUCACUGCGCGUAAGGCAUGCUUAGGCUGUUUCGUAAGUCGUGUGUGAAAGGCGCGGGCUCAACCCGCGGACGGCACCUGAUACUGCGAGACUAGAGUAAGUGAGGGGGAACCGGAAUUCUCGGUGUAGCAGUGAAAUGCGUAGAUAUCGAGAGGAACACUCGUGGCGAAGGCGGGUUCCUGGACAUUAACUGACGCUGAGGCACGAAGGCCAGGGGAGCGAAAGGGAUUAGAUACCCGAGUAGUC